UACGAAGGGGGCUAGCGUUGCUCGGAAUCACUGGGCGUAAAGGGUGCGUAGGCGGGUCUUUAAGUCAGGGGUGAAAUCCUGGAGCUCAACUCCAGAACUGCCUUUGAUACUGAAGAUCUUGAGUUCGGGAGAGGUGAGUGGAACUGCGAGUGUAGAGGUGAAAUUCGUAGAUAUUCGCAAGAACACCAGUGGCGAAGGCGGCUCACUGGCCCGAUACUGACGCUGAGAAGCGAAAGCAUGGGGAGCGAACAGG
Molecule: ribosomal RNA, 253 nt
Filed under: uncultured bacterium
Lineage: Bacteria
Description: partial 16S ribosomal RNA
Rfam family: Bacterial small subunit ribosomal RNA
Source: RNAcentral